Molecule: ribosomal RNA, 497 nt
Filed under: uncultured bacterium
Lineage: Bacteria
Description: partial 16S ribosomal RNA
Rfam family: Bacterial small subunit ribosomal RNA
Source: RNAcentral
GAUGAACGCUGGCGGCGUGCCUAAUACAUGCAAGUCGAGCGAACAGACGAGGUGCUUGCUCGUCUGACGUUAGCGGCGGACGGGUGAGUAACACGUGGAUAACCUACCUAUAAGACUGGGAUAACUUCGGGAAACCGGAGCUCAUACCGGAUAAUAUAUUGAACCGCAUGGUUCAAUAGUGAAAGACGGCUUUGCUGUCACUUAUAGAUGGAUCCGCGCCGCAUUAGCUAGUUGGUAAGGUAAAGGCUUACCAAGGCAACGAUGCGUAGCCGAUCUGAGAGGGUGAUCAGCCACACUGGAACUGAGACACGGUCCAGACUCCUACGGGAGGCAGCAGUAGGGAAUCUUCCGCAAUGGGCGAAAGCCUGACGGAGCAACGCCGCGUGAGUGAUGAAGGUCUUCGGAUCGUAAAACUCUGUUAUAAGGAAAGAACAGAUGUGUAAGUAACUAUGCGCGUCUUGACGGUACCUAAUCAGAAAGCCACGGCUAACUACGUG